GGGGCUGUAGCUCAGCUGGGAGAGCGCCGGUCUUGCACGCCGGAGGUCGCCGGUUCGAGCCCGGUCAGCUCCA
RNAcentral lists this transfer RNA (73 nucleotides) under Pseudomonadota bacterium. RNAcentral's name for it is "tRNA-Ala". It matches the Rfam family "tRNA". From Rfam's summary of the family: Transfer RNA (tRNA) molecules are approximately 80 nucleotides in length. Their secondary structure includes four short double-helical elements and three loops (D, anti-codon, and T loops). The record is from RNAcentral. RNAcentral also lists the same sequence under 1 other name. Lineage: Bacteria; Pseudomonadati; Pseudomonadota.